UACGUAGGAAGCGAGCGUUGUCCGGAAUCAUUGGGCGUAAAGAGCGUGUAGGCGGCCCGGUAAGUCCGCUGUAAAAGUCAAAGGCUUAACCUUUGAAUGUCAGUGGAUACUGCCGGGCUAGAGUCCGGAAGAGGCGAGUGGAACUCCUGGUGUAGCGGUGGAAUGCGCAGAUAUCAGGAAGAACACCAACGGCGAAGGCAGCUCGCUAGGACGGUACUGACGCUGAGACGCGAAAGCGUGGGUAGCAAACAGG
RNAcentral lists this ribosomal RNA (253 nucleotides) under uncultured bacterium. RNAcentral describes it as "partial 16S ribosomal RNA". It matches the Rfam family "Bacterial small subunit ribosomal RNA", at positions 524 to 776 of the family's 1533-position model. The record is from RNAcentral.